RNAcentral lists this ribosomal RNA (1050 nucleotides) under uncultured organism. RNAcentral's name for it is "bacterial SSU rRNA". It matches the Rfam family "Bacterial small subunit ribosomal RNA", at positions 304 to 1357 of the family's 1533-position model. The record is from RNAcentral.
CCCCCCACACUGGUACUGAGACACGGACCAGACUCCUACGGGAGGCAGCAGUGAGGAAUAUUGGUCAAUGGAGGCAACUCUGAACCAGCCAAGCCGCGUGAAGGAAGACUGUCCUAUGGAUUGUAAACUUCUUUUGUGGCAGAAUAAACUACCGUACUUGUACGGUAUUGCAUGUAUGCCAUGAAUAAGCAUCGGCUAACUCCGUGCCAGCAGCCGCGGUAAUACGGAGGAUGCAGGCGUUAUCCGGAUUUAUUAGGUUUAAAGGGUGUUCAGGCUGCCUGGUAAGUCAGGGGUAAAAGUCGGUUGCUCAACGAUCGAAUUGCCUUUGAAACUGUCAGGCUCGAGUAUGGAUGCGGUAGGCGGAAUGUGUAGUGUAGCGGUGAAAUGCAUAGAUAUUACACAAAACACCGAUUGCGAAGGCAGCUUACCAAACCAGCACUGACGCUGAAGCACGAAAGCGUGGGGAGCGAACAGGAUUAGAUACCCUGGUAGUCCACGCCGUAAACUUUGCUCACUCGCUGUUGGCGAUAGACAGUCACCGGCCAAGGGAAACCGAUAAGUGAGCCACCUGGGGAGUACGCCCGCAAGGUUGAAACUCAAAGGAAUUGACGGGGGCCCGCACAAGCGGUGGAACAUGUGGUUUAAUUCGAUGAUACGCGAGGAACCUUACCUGGGCUUAAAUGUGAAGUGCAUUGAUUGGAAACAAUCAUUUCCGUCGGGACCCUUUACAAGGUGCUGCAUGGUUGUCGUCAGCUCGUGCCGUGAGGUGUCGGGUUAAGUCCCAUAACGAGCGCAACCCCUAUUGUUAGUUACCAGCGCGUGAUGGCGGGGACUCUAGCGAAACUGCCGGUGUAAACCGCGAGGAAGGUGGGGAUGACGUCAAAUCAGCACGGCCCUUAUGUCCAGGGCUACACACGUGUUACAAUGGCCGGUACAGCGGGCAGCUAGGCAGCGAUGUCAUGCUAAUCCCGAAAGCCGGUCACAGUUCGGAUUGGAGUCUGCAACCCGACUCCAUGAAGGUGGAUCGCUAGUAAUCGCGCAUCAGCCAUG